RNAcentral lists this ribosomal RNA (407 nucleotides) under uncultured bacterium. Its description in RNAcentral is "partial 16S ribosomal RNA". It matches the Rfam family "Bacterial small subunit ribosomal RNA", at positions 28 to 526 of the family's 1533-position model. The record is from RNAcentral.
GACGAACGCUGGCGGCGUGCCUAAUACAUGCAAGUAGGACGCAGUUGCGAACGGGUGAGUAACGCGUAGGUAACUACCUAUUAGAGGGGGAUAACUAUUGGAAACGAUAGCUAAUACCGCAUACUAGUAGAUGGACCUGCGUUGUAUUAGCUAGUAGGUAGGGUAAUGGCCUACCUAGGCAACGAUACAUAGCCGACCUGUGGGGGUGUGCGGCCACAAUGGGACCGGGACACGGCCCGGACCCCCACGGGGGGGAGCAGUAGGGAAUCUUCGGAAAGGGGGGGAACCCUGACCGAGCAACGCCGGGGGAGUGAAGAAGGUGCUCGGAUCGGAAAGCUCUUUUGUGAGGGAAGCGGUACUUAAACAAAAAGGAACGGCUAACUCCGUGCCAGCAGCCGCGGUAAUAC